GUCGCGAUGGUAAUCGAGCCCAGUACGAGAGGAGCCGAUCAUUUAGAUAAUUGGAUUUUGCGGCCGUCUGACAAGGCAGUGCCGCGAAUCUGCUAUCUGCUGGUUGAUGGCUGAACGCGUAUGUCUAAAGUCGGCAAAGAAUCAACAAACAAC
This 153-nucleotide non-coding RNA is filed under the name Pseudogymnoascus sp. 23342-1-I1. RNAcentral describes it as "Eukaryotic large subunit ribosomal RNA". It matches the Rfam family "Eukaryotic large subunit ribosomal RNA", at positions 3010 to 3158 of the family's 3401-position model. The record is from Rfam by way of RNAcentral. Lineage: Eukaryota; Fungi; Ascomycota; Leotiomycetes; Thelebolales; Thelebolaceae.